This 253-nucleotide ribosomal RNA is filed under the name uncultured bacterium. RNAcentral describes it as "partial 16S ribosomal RNA". It matches the Rfam family "Bacterial small subunit ribosomal RNA", at positions 524 to 776 of the family's 1533-position model. The record is from RNAcentral.
UACAGGGGGGGCAAGCGUUGUUCGGAAUUACUGGGCGUAAAGGGCUUGUAGGCGGCCAACUAAGUCCGACGUGAAAUCCCUAGGCUUAACCUAGGAACUGCGUCGGAUACUGGAUGGCUUGAAUCCGGGAGAGGGAUGCGGAAUUCCAGGUGUAGCGGUGAAAUGCGUAGAUAUCUGGAGGAACACCGGUGGCGAAGGCGGCAUCCUGGACCGGUAUUGACGCUGAGGCGCGAAAGCCAGGGGAGCAAACGGG